UACAGAGGGUGCAAGCGUUUGUUCGGAAUUAUUGGGCGUAAAGCGCGUGUAGGCGGCUUUGCAAGUCGGGUGUGAAAGCCCUCAGCUCAACUGAGGAAGUGCGCCCGAAACUGCAGAGCUUGAGUGCCGGAGAGGGUGGCGGAAUUCCCCAAGUAGAGGUGAAAUUCGUAGAUAUGGGGAGGAACACCGGUGGCGAAGGCGGACCACCUGGACGGGUAAC
RNAcentral lists this ribosomal RNA (220 nucleotides) under uncultured bacterium. RNAcentral describes it as "partial 16S ribosomal RNA". It matches the Rfam family "Bacterial small subunit ribosomal RNA", at positions 524 to 740 of the family's 1533-position model. The record is from RNAcentral.